Molecule: long non-coding RNA, 2462 nt
Organism: Triticum aestivum (bread wheat)
Lineage: Eukaryota; Viridiplantae; Streptophyta; Magnoliopsida; Poales; Poaceae
Exons: 7
Source: RefSeq, a predicted model, not a curated record
UCCCAUAGAACACCGCUCCCCUCCAUCCCCUCGAACUAUCAUUUUGUCCUAGGUCGACCCCCUCGAUCGCGGCCUCCACCGUACGAUCUCGCCGCCGCCGUAUGGGAUCACCUACGACGUACAAUCUCGCCGCCACUGCAAGCCUUUCCUCCCACCCCGCCUCCUCUCGUCUCUUUGCCCCCGAUCUAGAUGGCGCCUCCAAUCUCGGCGGGGCGGCGACCUCGAGCGACGGCAGCACUGCUGGAUCUCCUCCACCCCCACUCAAUCAAUACUGGUACCCGAGGCUCUCCUCCUCGACCGACCGCGAGCAACGCCGCCGCCUCACCGUCUUCUUCUACCAUCACCAACCGCCUGCUCGCGUCCCCGCCAUCCCCUUGUUUGUGGUCUGUGAUGGAGUGAAGUAUCGAUGACCAUCACCUCUCCCCCGCCAUCAUAUUCCCUAGAGGUGGAUACAAAGCUUUGGGAUGGCCCACUCGGUGCCGGCUGGAACACCGACGACGCCGGGCUCCUCGGCGUGGCUCCCGCGAGAAUGGGUGCACAUCGGAAUCUGUCCUGGUUUGUGUGGUAGUAGCAUUUUUUUCUUUGAUUGUACGUAGCUUUUUAAGUUUCUUGAUCAAAUGGUGUUUGAUCGGAUUUUUUUUUGGUCAUCAACGCCAGCGAUUCCAUGGCGAAGUGAUUGUGUUCGACAACAGUAACUUGGGUUGGUUUCCAUCUAUAGAUUGUAGAUGAGAAAUGAUACCUGGUGGAGGCAAUGUUCUGUACAAGUGCUUGAUUAGAACGACACUGCAAAUAAAUUGGUGACAAGAGGCAAAUUCUUGCGGUGCCCGAUGAGGACAUACUCCUACAUCGAUCCAUGUACGAACUGGGAGCAGCAUCGAUCCGAUGAACGCACAAGGAAUAUCCAACAGAUUACCCUUACUACUAUAUUUUUUAUCCAUGAAUGUCAUCUUGGGCCCCUGUACGAUUUGAUUACAUGAUGUUGUGUCCUCAAACUUUACUCUGAGUUAUUUGUUAGAUGCUCGGUGAAAUUCAGAAUUAUUUUUCUUCUGUCUUCCCAGUGAUGGAAGGUAGAUUGAGCUGAUAAAUUUCUGCACCCACCUUGAGGUCCAUAACGUUCUCCUAAUUGUAUGCAGCACAACCGUAAAGAUGUAUUUGUUUGAGGGAGAGGACUGUCUCUUAUCAGAAGCAACAUUAUGUGAUCAUCAUGUGUUGGAUCUUGGUCCCCUGUAUGAGUUGAAUACAUGAUUGAUGGAAGGUAGAUUGAGCUGAAAAUUUUCUGCACCCACCUUGAGGUCCAUAAGGUUCUCCUAAUUAUAUGCAGCCCAAUCGUAAAGAUAUAUUUGUUUGCGGGAGAAGACUAUCAGUUAUCAGAAGCAACAUUAUGUGAUCAUCAUGUGUGAGAGAGACGGCAAAGAUAGGUUCAUGAUUGAUUAUGGCAACAAGGAAAUCACUCGAGAAGGAUUUUAUUAGUAUGCACACUUUGAGACUUGAGAGGCUGUUAUUGAUUAAGGAAUCUAUGUCUGCUAGAGAGGCUGAUGCCAAAUCAGCAUCGGAAAAGGGCAAGAUAAGGGGACUGAGGGAGCAUAGGAGAGCAAGAUGGGGUGGUCUGCAUCACCUUCAGUUGGCACAUGCGCAUGCACCUGCAGUAAUCAUUAUCUUUCCCAUGGUUAAGAUAUGAAAUUGGCCUGAUAGCUCUUAUGUUAGCACUUUCUAAAGUUCACAUUUAUUUGUGUGCUCAAGAAAUAUCUGGACAAUCUUUUGCUAGCGGUAAGUUUCAUGUUUGUGACUUUUUGCUAUGUCAAACGAAGAACAGAAGCCCGAAGCCCGUUACUGUGUGAAGGAAUGGCCUCCUUCUGAAGAUAUUUAAUUCACCAUGCUUAUUCAGUUUGUGACGGAAUGGUCUGAUUGCUGAUCCGGGUUUUUUGCAUUAGCGAUGAAGUAGAUGAGUGCAAUGUGGUUGAAGAAGGGAAAGGAACAAGCGAGAUGAGAUAUUUUGAAGCGACAUCAAUUCUAGAGAAAGAUGGACGAUGUGCAGGGAAAUGAGGGGUGGAGGAAAAGAUGUCACUUGUCUUCUCAAAAUUAGAGGGUUAAAGAGGUAGGACAACUGCCAAGGAGGAAAGUGCAGAUGAAGAGAGCAGAUAUGAAGGGGAAGGAGGGGCGGAGAAAAAUAUGUCACUUCUAUUCUCAAGUAGAAGAUGGUUUGAAGAGACAUGACAACCACCGAGGAGGAAAUAAGCAUGAGCGAGAAUUAACUCACAUUUCUGAAAUAGAACAAAUGUUUGACAAUGUCUUCUUUAUUCCUGCAAUGCAAGGGUAGCGGCAGCUGGGCUUGAUUAAUUGCACUCUUUGAAGGAUUGACGAUUGCUGCAGCGUCUGAUCAUGUGAGGGUAAUAAAUAUUUUUCUUGCUAAAAAACCGUUGUCACUUGGAAUAAUAUACGACGGGGACCUCAUUGGAGUUUAU